UACAGAGGGUGCAAGCGUUAAUCGGAUUUACUGGGCGUAAAGCGUGCGCAGGCGGCUUCGCAAGUCAGACGUGAAAUCCCCGGGCUUAACCUGGGAAUGGCGUUUGAAACUACGGAGCUGGAGUGUGGCAGAGGGAGGUAGAAUUCCACGUGUAGCGGUGAAAUGCGUAGAUAUGUGGAGGAAUACCGAUGGCGAAGGCAGCCUCCUGGGCCAACACUGACGCUCAUGCACGAAAGCGUGGGGAGCAAACAGG
RNAcentral lists this ribosomal RNA (253 nucleotides) under uncultured bacterium. RNAcentral describes it as "partial 16S ribosomal RNA". It matches the Rfam family "Bacterial small subunit ribosomal RNA", at positions 524 to 776 of the family's 1533-position model. The record is from RNAcentral.